Molecule: ribosomal RNA, 1507 nt
Filed under: Puniceicoccales bacterium Verruco_01
Lineage: Bacteria; Pseudomonadati; Verrucomicrobiota; Opitutia; Puniceicoccales
Description: bacterial SSU rRNA
Rfam family: Bacterial small subunit ribosomal RNA
Source: RNAcentral
AGAGUUUGAUUCUGGCUCAGAGUGAACGCUGGCGGCGUGGUUCAGACAUGCAAGUCGAGCGAGGGUAGCAAUACCUUAGCGGCGAACGGGUGCGUAACACGCGAGCAACCUACCGUGAAGUUGGGGAUAGCCCGCCGAAAGGUGGAUUAAUACCGAAUGUGGCGAGGAACCGCAUGGUUCCUUUGCUAAAGCUUGUAAUGGCGCUUCAUGAGGGGCUCACGGCCUAUCAGCUUGUUGGCGGGGUAACGGCCCACCAAGGCAAAGACGGGUAGCUGAUCUGAGAGGAUGAUCAGCCACACUGGAACUGAGAUACGGUCCAGACACCUACGGGUGGCAGCAGUUUCGAAUCAUUCACAAUGGGCGCAAGCCUGAUGGUGCGACGCCGCGUGGGGGAUGAAGGUCUUCGGAUUGUAAACCCCUGUCAUUUGGGAGUAAACCCUGCAUGCAUAAUGCAGGCUGAAUUAACCAGAAGAGGAAGCAGUGGCUAACUCCGUGCCAGCAGCCGCGGUAAUACGGAGACUGCGAGCGUUACUCGGAUUUACUGGGCGUAAAGGGUCCGCAGGCGGCCACGUGUGUCGGGUGUGAAAUCCCACGGCUUAACCGUGGAACUGCGCCCGAAACUACGUGGCUAGAGGCUCGGAGAGGGUAGUGGAAUUCCUGGUGUAGCGGUGAAAUGCGUAGAUAUCAGGAGGAACACCAACGGCGAAGGCAGCUACCUGGACGAGUUCUGACGCUCAUGGACGAAAGCGUGGGGAGCAAAAGGGAUUAGAUACCCCUGUAGUCCACGCCCUAAACUUUGUGCAUUAGGUAUUGGGGGAUUCGACCCCCUCAGUGCCCAAGCUAACGCGAUAAAUGCACCGCCUGAGGACUACGGCCGCAAGGCUAAAACUCAAAGAAAUUGACGGGGCCCCGCACAAGCAGUGGAGUAUGUGGCUUAAUUCGAUGCAACGCGAAGAACCUUACCAAGAUUUGACAUGCAGGAGACAGGAGCUGAAAGGCUCUCUUCCUUCGGGACUGCUGCACAGGUGCUGCAUGGCUGUCGUCAGCUCGUGUCGUGAGAUGUUCGGUUAAGUCCGGCAACGAGCGCAACCCCUGUCCUUAGUUGCCAGCAUUCAGUUGGGUACUCUAGGGAGACUAACCCUUUUAAGGGUGGGAAGGUGGGGAUGACGUCAAGUCAGUAUGGCCCUUACAUCUUGGGCUGCACACGUACUACAAUGCCAAGUACAAUGGGUUCCGAUACCGCGAGGUGGAGGUAAUCCCCAAAGCUUGGCCCAGUUCAGAUCGGAGUCUGCAACCCGACUCCGUGAAGCCGGAAUUGCUAGUAAUGGUACAUCAGCAACGGUACCGUGAAUACGUUCCCGGGGCUUGUACACACCGCCCGUCACAUCAUGAAAGCCGGUUUCGCCCGAAGUACAUGCGUCAACCCGCAAGGGAGGCAGUGUCCUAAGGCAAGGCUGGUGAUUGGGAUGAAGUCGUAACAAGGUAGCCGUAGGGGAACCUGCGGCUG